ACUCAAAUGAAUUGACGGGGGCCCGCACAAGCGGUGGAUGAUGUGGAUUAAUUCGAUGCAACGCGAAAAACCUUACCUACCCUUGACAUGUGCCGAACCCUGGUGAGAGCCGGGGGUGCCCGAAAGGGAGCGGCAACACAGGUGCUGCAUGGCUGUCGUCAGCUCGUGUCGUGAGAUGUUGGGUUAAGUCCCGCAACGAGCGCAACCCUUGCCAUUAGUUGCUACAUUCAGUUGGGCACUCUAAUGGGACUGCCGGUGACAAACCGGAGGAAGGUGGGGAUGACGUCAAGUCCUCAUGGCCCUUAUGGGUAGGGCUUCACACGUCAUACAAUGGUCGGUACAGAGGGUUGCCAAGCCGCGAGGUGGAGCCAAUCCCUGCAAAGCCGAUCGUAGUCCGGAUUGCAGUCUGCAACUCGACUGCAUGAAGUCGGAAUCGCUAGUAAUCGCGGAUCAGCAUGUCGCGGUGAAUACGUUCCCGGGCCUUGUACACACCGCCCGU
RNAcentral lists this ribosomal RNA (499 nucleotides) under uncultured bacterium. RNAcentral's name for it is "partial 16S ribosomal RNA". It matches the Rfam family "Bacterial small subunit ribosomal RNA", at positions 899 to 1397 of the family's 1533-position model. The record is from RNAcentral.